GAUGAACGCUGGCGGCGUGCCUAAUACAUGCAAGUCGAGCGAACAGAUGAGGAGCUUGCUCCUCUGACGUUAGCGGCGGACGGGUGAGUAACACGUGGAUAACCUACCUAUAAGACUGGGAUAACUUCGGGAAACCGGAGCUAAUACCGGAUAAUAUAUUGAACCGCAUGGUUCAAUAGUGAAAGACGGUUUUGCUGUCACUUAUAGAUGGAUCCGCGCCGCAUUAGCUAGUUGGUAAGGUAACGGCUUACCAAGGCAACGAUGCGUAGCCGACCUGAGAGGGUGAUCGGCCACACAGGAACUGAGACACGGUCCAGACUCCUACGGGAGGCAGCAGUAGGGAAUCUUCCGCAAUGGGCGAAAGCCUGACGGAGCAACGCAGCGUGAGUGAUGAAGGUCUUCGGAUCGUAAAACUCUGUUAUUAGGGAAGAACAAAUGUGUAAGUAACGAUGCACGUCUUGACGGUACCUAAUCAGAAAGCCACGGCUAACUACGU
RNAcentral lists this ribosomal RNA (496 nucleotides) under uncultured bacterium. Its description in RNAcentral is "partial 16S ribosomal RNA". It matches the Rfam family "Bacterial small subunit ribosomal RNA", at positions 28 to 506 of the family's 1533-position model. The record is from RNAcentral.